UACGUAGGGUGCAAGCGUUAAUCGGAAUUACUGGGCGUAAAGCGUGCGCAGGCGGUUAUAUAAGACAGAUGUGAAAUCCCCGGGCUCAACCUGGGAACUGCAUUUGUGACUGUAUAGCUAGAGUACGGUAGAGGGGGAUGGAAUUCCGCGUGUAGCAGUGAAAUGCGUAGAUAUGCGGAGGAACACUGAUGGCGAAGGCAAUCCCCUGGACCUGUACUGACGCUCAUGCACGAAAGCGUGGGGAGCAAACAGG
This 253-nucleotide ribosomal RNA is filed under the name uncultured bacterium. RNAcentral's name for it is "partial 16S ribosomal RNA". It matches the Rfam family "Bacterial small subunit ribosomal RNA", at positions 524 to 776 of the family's 1533-position model. The record is from RNAcentral.